Molecule: long non-coding RNA, 396 nt
Organism: Drosophila willistoni
Lineage: Eukaryota; Metazoa; Arthropoda; Insecta; Diptera; Drosophilidae
Exons: 3
Source: RefSeq, a predicted model, not a curated record
GUUUUCUGAUACCAAAGUUGAGCUAUUACUGAAGGUCCAUUGGUUAGCUGUCCUAGCACUCCUAGCAGUGUUACUCCUAGAAAGCCUGUAGGUCGUAAAAACCAUUCAGAAUAUCAAGUCUCAGAGAUGGAACUUGAGUUCAAAUCAAAUAUGUAUUUGACCCCAGAAAAGUGUCAACAGUUGGCUGAGAAAUUGCAGCUAACUGAUCGUCAGCUCAAGGCCUGGUUUUCAAACCGUCGUACAAAGGUUAGAAAACUUUCCAUGGCUCAGGAAGGACCCAUAAAAUAGGAUGCGUUUCAAAUCUCCGACAACGCCCGUGGCUAAAAAUGGCCGAGCAUAUAAGAUGCAGGUCAGAAAUCAGUUGGGGCCAUUUGAGGUUAGAUCGGCAAUGGUGGC